CACGUAGUUGGCCGGUCCUUCUUCUGCAGGUACCGUCACUUUCGCUUCGUCCCUGCUGAAAGAGGUUUACAACCCGAAGGCCGUCAUCCCUCACGCGGCGUUGCUGGAUCAGGCUUGCGCCCAUUGUCCAAUAUUCCCCACUGCUGCCUCCCGUAGGAGUCUGGGCCGUGUCUCAGUCCCAGUGUGGCCGGUCACCCUCUCAGGCCGGCUACCCGUCGUCGCCUUGGUGAGCCGUUACCUCACCAACAAGCUGAUAGGCCGCGAGUCCAUCCUUCUCCGCCGGAGCUUUCCACUUCAGAAGAUGCCUUCCGAAGUCGUAUUCGGCAUUAGACGUCGUUUCCAACGCUUAUUCCGAUGAGAAGGGCAGGUUACUCACGUGUUACUCACCCGUUCGCCGCUCGUGUACUCCCGAAGGAGCCUUACCGCUCGACUUGCAUGUGUUAAGCACGCCGCCAGCGUUCGUCCUGAGCCAGGAUCAAACUCU
RNAcentral lists this ribosomal RNA (484 nucleotides) under uncultured Aeromicrobium sp. Its description in RNAcentral is "partial 16S ribosomal RNA". Lineage: Bacteria; Bacillati; Actinomycetota; Actinomycetes; Propionibacteriales; Nocardioidaceae. The record is from RNAcentral.